RNAcentral lists this ribosomal RNA (468 nucleotides) under uncultured bacterium. RNAcentral describes it as "partial 16S ribosomal RNA". It matches the Rfam family "Bacterial small subunit ribosomal RNA", at positions 28 to 507 of the family's 1533-position model. The record is from RNAcentral.
GACGAACGCUGGCGGCGUGCUUAACACAUGCAAGUCGAACGGAAAGGCCCUGCUUUUGUGGGGUGCUCGAGUGGCGAACGGGUGAGUAACACGUGAGUAACCUGCCCUUGACUUUGGGAUAACGUCAGGAAACUGGGGCUAAUACCGGAUAGGAGCUCCUGCUGCAUGGUGGGGGGUGGAAAGUUUCGGCGGUUGGGGAUGGACUCGCGGCUUAUCAGCUUGUUGGUGGGGUAGUGGCUUACCAAGGCUUUGACGGGUAGCCGGCCUGAGAGGGUGACCGGCCACAUUGGGACUGAGAUACGGCCCAGACUACUACGGGAGGCAGCAGUGGGGAAUAUUGCACAAUGGGCGGAAGCCUGAUGCAGCAACGCCGCGUGCGGGAUGACGGCCUUCGGGUUGUAAACCGCUUUCGCCUGUGACGAAGCGUGAGUGACGGUAAUGGGUAAAGAAGCACCGGCUAACUACGUG